Molecule: non-coding RNA, 1654 nt
Organism: Cyanistes caeruleus (blue tit)
Lineage: Eukaryota; Metazoa; Chordata; Aves; Passeriformes; Paridae
Source: RefSeq, a predicted model, not a curated record
GCUGCUGUUCGAUGGGGCCCACUGCAUCCUCCAGGGGACUUCGGCUGCCUCCACCAGGGGCGCUACUUCCAGGUGCACUGGAUGUGGCCCCAGUGCCUCCCAGUACAGACCAGUUCCAGCCCUAGCUCCUUCUAGGCUCCCCAUGUUGAUCCUGGGCCCCUUUAGUGUGCUCCCCACAGUGUUCCCAGGCCCUCCCAGUACAUCCCAGUUCUCCACCAGUCCUUUCCAGUUCCCUCCCAAGUGCUCACCAGUCCCCAGUCCCUCGCAGUACACCCCAGCAUCCCCCAUGUCACCAUUUCUCCCCAGUGUUCUCUCCACUUCCCCCAGACACGUCCCUCAGUGCGUCCCCCUUUACUCCAGCAUCUCUCCUCAUGGUGAGAGACCCCAGGAUCUCUCAUCCCCUCCAGUCUCCCUCGAUAUUCCCUGUAUUAUCCAGAGUCCCUCCAAGGGUAUUUGAGUCCUCCCCCACUUUCCCCCACAGUGUUCCAAAUCCUUCCCAAUUUGUCUUUGUUCCCCCACAGUGCCUCCCAAUGCAUCCCAAUCACUUAGUGGGGGAACUGAGUGUCCUUCCAGUGUCUCCCAGCAUGUUCCAAUGUCCCCCUGUGUCUCCACCAGUGUUUCCAGUGUCCCCCAGCAGGUCCCAAUCCCCCCAGUGUGUCCCCCUCCAUGGGGGACAUGGGGCUAUGUGUGGACACGGGCACACACUGGGGACAUACUGGUGGUCCCCAUGGGCACUCACUGGGGAUAUGGAAACACAUAGGUGAUGUGGGAGACAUGGGCCCCCUUCCCCCCUCCCACGACACCUCACAGCAUCAUCAUCCCCAUUUUUUGGCCAUUUUAGGCCAUUUUUCCCUACUCCCCACAUUUUAUCCAAGGAAAACAAAUCGCUGAGACCAUCCUGACCCCUGACUGUUCCCAGGCCUGCACCUGCUGAGUGCCUGGGGGCCCCCAGUGCCAUCCCUUCACUUGUCCCUUUGGCCACACCUGGGGCCUCUGUGACGGCACCAGCACCUGCACCUGCAUUGUACGCCCAGGUUGCUGCACUGUAUCCCCUGCCACCCGUUUCGUCACCUUUGACGGUGUCACCAGGGCCAUCCUGGCCACUGGCAUCUAUGUGGUGGCCAGCACGUGUGACCUCUGGGACCCUGCAUGGCUCCAGCUCCUGGGGGACGUCAGGGACAUUGGGGACUAUCCGGCAGUGGUGACACUUCACCUUUUCAGCUCCCACAGGCUCAUCACCAUGCAGAGGGACAGGAAGGCCUGACUCAAUGGGGUCCCCACACCCCUGCCCAUGGAGCUCCCGGGACCAUUGACCAUCACGGAGACACACAUGACCCUCUGGAUCAGCUGAACCCCGGGAUUUCUGGUGUGAUAAUGGAACUGGCUCCGCAGGGGUGACAGUGGAGGUGCCCAGGGAAGCGCGGGUGAUGCUCUGUGGCCUCUGCAGCGACUACGACGGUGCCACCAGCAAUGACCUGCAAGCACCUGACAUGCAGGUGCUGGCCGAGGCCUGGCAGGCACCUGACUUCAGCCAGUGAUGUGGAAAAUUGACAUUUCAUCUGGGUGGCCGCGCCUCACCGCUGACGUCAUCCUCAAAUGCCUCAGAUCCGGAAAACCCGGAUUUUUAUAACCCCCAAAACUGUGCUUUCGCCCC